Non-coding RNA from Dipodomys ordii (Ord's kangaroo rat), 70 nucleotides. The record is from Rfam. Lineage: Eukaryota; Metazoa; Chordata; Mammalia; Rodentia; Heteromyidae.
GUGGCUGGCUCAGUUGUAGAGUGCUUGUCUUGUAUGCAUGAGGCCUUGGGUUCGAUUCCUCAGCACCACA